Molecule: ribosomal RNA, 207 nt
Filed under: uncultured bacterium
Lineage: Bacteria
Description: partial 16S ribosomal RNA
Rfam family: Bacterial small subunit ribosomal RNA
Source: RNAcentral
CACGUAGGCGGACUAUUAAGUCAGGGGUGAAAUCCCGGGGCUCAACCCCGGAACUGCCUUUGAUACUGGUAGUCUAGAGUUCGAGAGAGGUGAGUGGAAUUCCGAGUGUAGAGGUGAAAUUCGUAGAUAUUCGGAGGAACACCAGUGGCGAAGGCGGCUCACUGGCUCGAUACUGACGCUGAGGUGCGAAAGCGUGGGGAGCAAACA